Molecule: long non-coding RNA, 1236 nt
Filed under: Anser brachyrhynchus (Pink-footed goose)
Lineage: Eukaryota; Metazoa; Chordata; Aves; Anseriformes; Anatidae
Description: lncRNA (ENSABRG00000012398.1)
Source: RNAcentral
AAACACACAAACAGAUGUAGAAAUGUGCUGUUUGGUGUAAGCAGUUCCACUGUGACAGGCUGGAUGUGAAGCUUUGGGGUGAGAAAGAGUAAGAAAGGAGGUCUUUAUCAGCACAGCUUCCUGGUUCAAUAUGCAAACUUGGUUUUGUGCUGGCUCCCCAGCUCUAAAACGAAGCUGUUGAGGACCAGUUCCUGCUGUUUCUUCCACACACGCAGUCUGAACAGCUCCGGGUGGCACUAUUUUAAGCUGAAUCCCAAAGCCUGUCUGCAGAGAAGAGAGCUGCCAUGAAAAAUAGCCAAUGCAUAUACAGCAGCAUCAGGAGAAAAACAGGACCUUGAUGUUCCGUGCGUCUGGGGAGAACCACCCGGCUUGGCGGCAUUCCUCACGUCUGACUUGCGAGGGCUCCACGCAGGAAACUUCUCAAGCCUUCAUUUAUCUUCCCCCAAAAGGGCAAGUCGCCCUCAGCGAGCGUGGAGCUGGGUGUCAGACCGCAGCUAACGCCAGACGGCCUCUUAAGCAACAAUUAAGCCCCGGCGGUGCCGGUGUCACCUCAUUGCUCACCCAGCACGGCCCUUUUCCGCGUGCUUUGCUUCCCUUUUGCUUUUGUUCUCCCCGUGAUCCCUGCCACCGUGGCUUGAAGAAAAGGCUCGGCACCAGGCACGUAGCAGGAGGUGUCCGCCGGUGGCUGCUCUGCGGGGCUGGGCAAGCGAGGUCCUUCCACCCAAAGCAGCGUCACCCAAAGCAGCAUCACCCAAAAGCUGUUCCCGAACGUGCAGCCUCCCUGCAGCGGGCUGUGGGCUUUUCAGGGGCUGUCCCCUGCAGAGGACUGAUGCUACAAGCAAGUAAAUCCACAGGGCUUUCUUCCCCAUCUCCUCCAUAUGCCUGGUCCUGGUACAAAUCCCUUUCGGCACUGGUGUGCAGGGCUACAGGGGUAGUGAACGUGGGAUUUGGCUCUCGGGAUGGUCCCAUAGGAGACUGGGAAUUCCCUGCUAAAGGAUGGAUGUGGUGCACGGGGCAGAGGUGGCGGUGCCUGGUGCUGGGGGGGGGGACCCCUGGACCACCUGUGGAAACAAGAAAUGAGCAUUUUUCCCAAAGAAAACGUCGGUGUGCGUCUGCUUGCUCCUAACCUGUGUGGUAACGAAUGAGGAGCUUUUAAAAGGGUUUAAAACCAAAUGAAAACAACAAGCCCUGCUGGUAUUUCCCCUUUGAAUUUCCAUUGGAUUAAGUUAUAAAGAA